UGAUCCUGCGGGAGGCAGCAGUGAGGAAUAUUGGUCAAUGGGCGGAAGCCUGAACCAGCCAAGUCGCGUGAGGGAAUAAGGCCCUACGGGUCGUAAACCUCUUUUGCCGGGGAGCAAGGGCGGGGACGUGUCCCGGCCCGGAGAGUACCCGGAGAAAAAGCAUCGGCUAACUCCGUGCCAGCAGCCGCGGUAAUACGGAGGAUGCGAGCGUUAUCCGGAUUUACUGGGUGUAAAGGGAGCGUAGACGGUUCUGCAAGUCUGAAGUGAAAGCCCGUGCUUAACCGCGGAACGGCU
Molecule: ribosomal RNA, 294 nt
Filed under: uncultured bacterium
Lineage: Bacteria
Description: partial 16S ribosomal RNA
Rfam family: Bacterial small subunit ribosomal RNA
Source: RNAcentral